GAUGAACGCUGGCGGCGUGCCUAAUACAUGCAAGUAGAACGCUGAAGGAAGGAGCUUGCUCUUUCCGGAUGAGUUGCGAACGGGUGAGUAACGCGUAGGUAACCUGCCUGGUAGCGGGGGAUAACUAUUGGAAACGAUAGCUAAUACCGCAUAACAACAGUUGUUGCAUGACAGCUGUUUAAAAGGUGCAAAUGCACCACUACCAGAUGGACCUGCGUUGUAUUAGCUAGUUGGUGAGGUAACGGCUCACCAAGGCGACGAUACAUAGCCGACCUGAGAGGGUGAUCGGCCACACUGGGACUGAGACACGGCCCAGACUCCUACGGGAGGCAGCAGUAGGGAAUCUUCGGCAAUGGACGGAAGUCUGACCGAGCAACGCCGCGUGAGUGAAGAAGGUUUUCGGAUCGUAAAGCUCUGUUGUAAGAGAAGAACGAGUGUGAGAGUGGAAAGUUCACACUGUGACGGUAUCUUACCAGAAAGGGACGGCUAACUACGUGC
RNAcentral lists this ribosomal RNA (498 nucleotides) under uncultured Streptococcus sp. Its description in RNAcentral is "bacterial SSU rRNA". It matches the Rfam family "Bacterial small subunit ribosomal RNA", at positions 28 to 508 of the family's 1533-position model. The record is from RNAcentral. Lineage: Bacteria; Bacillati; Bacillota; Bacilli; Lactobacillales; Streptococcaceae.